This is a long non-coding RNA of Daphnia pulicaria, 679 nucleotides long. RefSeq lists it as uncharacterized. The transcript has 7 exons. NCBI's taxonomy places the organism in Eukaryota, Metazoa, Arthropoda, Branchiopoda, Diplostraca, Daphniidae. The record is from RefSeq and is a predicted model, not a curated record.
AGCCAAGUCAAGUCAAGCAUGCCAGGAAGGAGUGUACUCACUGCUGAGCAUGUUUUCAAGAUUGUAGAGUAAAAUAUGGAAUCUCUGAAUCUGACUGACUCUUUUGCUGUAGACCCCACGUAAUUGAAAUUAUGAUGCCUUAUCCACAAAAUGAGCAACAAUGGAUUGGAAUCCUGAAUUAGUAAAGUCUUUUCUAGUUAUAGGUGUCAUCGCUGGUAUGAGUUAAAAGUUGGGUGUGAAAACCAGGUAACUUCUACUGAGUUAUUUGCUGAUUGGCACCAGUAUAAAAGAUCACCUUAAAAUGCAUAAGGUUACUGGAUUUGUGACUGGAUGUCGAACUUAACAAUGUAUGGAUCUGUAAAAUGAAAUCUAUGACAUUUAAACUGUUUGUUCAUUUGUCGGCGCUAUGCUGUUUAAAGUUUAUUUGGACCCAUCUGUUGUUCCUGAAUCUCCAUAGGUCUUUCAUGGUGCAGAAUAGAAUUCUUUAAAUGCUAAGGAACGUUUCAAAAGUUGACGAGGCUGUUACCUUAAAACCGAUAACGAAAUGAUAAAUGAGGUGACAGGGACCCGUGAAGUCGUUAAUUUAAUCGUCUGCGUGUUGUCUAGCCCAUGCAAGUGUGUAACGAGGUAAGCCGCGUAGCUGUUAAGCUCGUUCAGGUUAUAUUUUAAGAAUUCGAAU